This 421-nucleotide ribosomal RNA is filed under the name uncultured Proteiniphilum sp. Its description in RNAcentral is "bacterial SSU rRNA". It matches the Rfam family "Bacterial small subunit ribosomal RNA", at positions 356 to 774 of the family's 1533-position model. Lineage: Bacteria; Pseudomonadati; Bacteroidota; Bacteroidia; Bacteroidales; Dysgonomonadaceae. The record is from RNAcentral.
GGGGAAUAUUGGACAAUGGGCGCAAGCCUGAACCAGCCACGUCGCGUGAAGGAAGACGGCCCUACGGGUUGUAAACUUCUUUUAUACGGGAAUAAAGUGCCCCACGCGUGGGGUUUUGCAAGUACCGUACGAAUAAGGAUCGGCUAACUCCGUGCCAGCAGCCGCGGUAAUACGGAGGAUCCGAGCGUUAUCCGGAUUUAUUGGGUUUAAAGUGUGCUCAGGCGGGGGAUUAAGUCGGCGGUGAAAUUUUGCAGCUCAACUGUAAAAGUGCCUUCGAAACUGGUUUCCUUGAGUGCGGAUGGGGUAGGCGGAAUUUAUGGUGUGGCGGUGAAUUGCAUAGAUAUCACGAGGAACACCGAUUGCGCAGACAGAUUACCAAGCCGUAACUGACGCUCAAGCACGAAGGCGUGGGGAUCAAACA